Molecule: long non-coding RNA, 546 nt
Filed under: Parus major (Great Tit)
Lineage: Eukaryota; Metazoa; Chordata; Aves; Passeriformes; Paridae
Description: lncRNA (ENSPMJG00000003720.1)
Source: RNAcentral
CAGUGCAGUGGUUUGUGGAAUCCUACAUACAUGAAGGCUGAUGCAGCAGGGGUUUGACAAUGCUCAGUGGUGCCUUUGGUUAUUUCUUUGCACUGAACAACAGUGAAAAACCUUUCACAACUGGAAUCCUUUAUGUGUUUGAGCUUCACCUUCUGAAUAUUUUAUUGUGAUUAAAGCUACUGUAAUUUUCUUCUUUUCCAGAGCUCUCUGGGGUGGAAUUUGUGCAACUCCACACCAAAAAAAUGUGAUGAUACAGAACACUUAUUUUGCAUUUCCAUGGUGGCACAUCCAGUGUGAUGACACAUAUUUUUAAGGGAAGAGGCCUAGAUGAGGAUUAAAGAUCUUGGGAUGUCCAAAGCUGUUAUAAAUGCAUAAGGGGGAAGUGGGAAAAAGGAUGAACUCCCAGGUGAGCCCAGACACAGCCAUAUGUGGAGGAGUGUCAUUACCAUCCUGUUGGGAGACAGGCAGCAAUGCCUGAUGCAGCCCCUUUUUUUGCUUCACUGAAGAAGCUCUGUGAAAAAAAUUUGGGGAGCCAUGUCCAUUGAU